UGUCUCCUCUGAUCCUCCUUGGGAUUGGAUUUAGCCCGCACCUUACUCCUGCGGGCUUUUUUUA
This 64-nucleotide non-coding RNA is filed under the name Alligator sinensis (Chinese alligator). RNAcentral describes it as "Betaproteobacteria toxic small RNA". It matches the Rfam family "Betaproteobacteria toxic small RNA". Rfam says of the family: Overexpression in amino aid rich medium attenuates growth, suggesting role in repressing amino acid intake and metabolism. The record is from Rfam by way of RNAcentral. Lineage: Eukaryota; Metazoa; Chordata; Crocodylia; Alligatoridae.